CUCGCAAGUGCUCGCACCUCAGGAUGACGAGCUCACUCCACCGUGUAGCUGCGCACGAGUUUGGGCGCGGCCCAGUUCAGCGCGGUGGCCUCCAUCAGCCAGCGUCCGGUGUAUUCGGCCAUGAAAGCGAUGCGUUGGGUCUGGCCCUUGUCCAUCAUCAGUGUGUCGAGCCAGAACGGCUUCCAGCCGUCGUCGAGGCGGUCGAGCAGGCGGAAGUGGUGGCC
RNAcentral lists this unclassified non-coding RNA (224 nucleotides) under Hevea brasiliensis (rubber tree). Lineage: Eukaryota; Viridiplantae; Streptophyta; Magnoliopsida; Malpighiales; Euphorbiaceae. The record is from RNAcentral.